This 330-nucleotide ribosomal RNA is filed under the name uncultured bacterium. Its description in RNAcentral is "bacterial SSU rRNA". It matches the Rfam family "Bacterial small subunit ribosomal RNA", at positions 28 to 355 of the family's 1533-position model. The record is from RNAcentral.
GAUGAACGCUAGCGGCAGGCUUAAUACAUGCAAGUCGAGCGGUAACAGGUGUAGCAAUACAUGCUGACGAGCGGCAGACGGGUGAGGAACACGUACGCAACUUUCCUCAAACCGGGCGACAACCUUGAGAAAUCAGGGCUAAUUCCCACUAACAUUGCGAGAGGGCAUCUGAUUGCAAUUAAAGAUUCGUCGGUUUGAGAUGGGCGUGCGUUCGAUUAGCUAGUUGGUAGGGUAACGGCUUACCAAGGCAACGAUCGAUAGCUGGUGUGAGAGCACGACCAGCCACACGGGCACUGAGAUACGGGCCCGACUCCUACGGGAGGCAGCAGU